CGCUGAGGGGCGGAGCCGUUAACGGUCGCCCGGCGCCGGGGAAGCGGCCGGCCCCUGCCCGCUGCUGCCCGGCGAGCGCCCGCCCUGUGCCCCCCAGGUGCCCCGGGAAGCCGUCCCGCAGCCGCAGUGUGAAUGCUGACUGUCAGUGCUGGAACAGAGCAGAAUGCCUCCGUGCCACCACCUGCACACCCUGAGCUGCACGUGUGUUCCUUUGGCAGAGAUUGGCAAUGGCAAGUCUCAGCCAUCAGUACCGUGUGCUGGAAAGGCUUUCUGCAAAAGCCCUGUGGGCUGAGGCAGCUGACCAGGGCAUCAGCAGCACAGCUGGAUGACAGCCAUUACCCAGGGCAGGAGCACAUGGGAAGGCCGGGAUGGCUCUGACCACGACUGGGCAUCCGACCUCAAGGUCUGUCACUUAGCAGCUGCAGGCAAGAUUGGCACUUGCUGGCUGGUGCUGCAUGUUUAAUCAGCUGAGGUUCACCAGUAAGAGUAUCAGACAUCAGUAGCUUGGAAGAUUUCCUUUCAUCAUUCAGUGCUCUGAUCACAAAUGCUGGCAGCCCUGCGAACUUUGACUGACAGAUUUUGUUCUACCUCUGGUUCCUGAUAUCUGAUUUCUGCUAUGUUCAAGCUGUCUGGAAACAUCUUGUCCCAUUACAGUCUUAUCUCAAUAGUUUCUUUUCCUCAUCUCUGCUUGGCUGCUGCAUCACGAGGUGGGUGACAGCAGUUGUUCAAUGCCUUUUGAAGGGGUGUGUAACAUAGCCUGCAGCUCCUGCCCUGGCAUUUAAAGUGAGUUUGUGGUCACACAUUCUGGACUGGGGAAAAAAGUCUGACUCUUCACCUGGUUUUCAGGUGAAGUUUGAGGACGUUCUAUGCUCUUUCAUACAAGGUUCACUGAAACAAGUGUCAUCCAUCUGAAUUAGAGAGCCAGAGUCCACCUGUACCUGGUAGAUUGGUUAAAAUGCUUGUGUGAUUUAUUACAAGUCAAUGCCACAGAAGCCAAACAUUUCAGGAAAGUCUUCAGAAUCAAAUCUCAGCUGGCAGCUGUUUGCCUCACCUCUUACUUUUUCACAUCUCCUGCAGAAAGCAAAUAGCUUUCACUUAUGGAAGAAACCUGAUUAUUCCCCGAAAUACGACUCAGAAUUGCUCCUUUUAAGGGUAAUUUCUGGGGCAUGCAGAGUGCCUUUCAGAAGAAUUGAGGAACACCAGCUGCAGAUCUAAAGACUGUUCAUGUCCGCUGUCCCUGCGGUGUGCAGUGUUUCACCAGUGCAGCCUUUUCUGUUCCAAUCCUUCAGUUACUUUUGUGUUCCUAAUUAUAUAUAUGUAUAAUUGACUUGCAAGACAUUCCUAGCUUUCAGUGCGCGCUGAGUGAAUUAUUGACCCAUCACAUGGGUCACUGAUGUGAAGAGACAUAUGAACAAACUUGGUACAAAAUAGCUGCUUUGCAUUCUUAAUAGCAAAUGUAAGCCAUUAAUAACUUCGCCUGAUGCACUCAGAGCCUGCACAAUUUUAGUUUAACAUGCAUAUGGCUGAGUUCAUCCUCUGUGUAAUUUGAAAUUCAUUGGGCAUGGACUUCAUCUCCUUAUGCUGCUUUAAAAUCUCUCCUGUGUUGAGAUGUGAUAUGCUAAUUCCGGAGUUUAUGGCUGACUUGAGAUGCUACAUUUGAAAAAUCAAAUCCAAUUAAAUCAACUUAUUACCAAGGCCAGAGAGUGGUAUUCAGUGCAUUUUAUUCUUCCUUAUUUCACAACAAGGAGUGAACUUCAGGAGAAUAUUGUGUCUUAACAUAUAAACAAAGCUAAUCUGUCCUAAUAAGAAGGUUUCUGUCUGCAGCGCCUAGGAAGCAAGUGGUAAAACAUUUUCUGGAGAGUCCAAUUACCUGAGCUUGGUUCUAGCUUUUCACUUCUUUUUGUCUGCUAUGGGGCAGUUGCUCUCCCCUUUGUGCCUGUUUCCCCAUCUACUCAUAACAUGGAAGCAAACUGAGGAUGUUAUGUGGAUGAAUUCAAAGACUGCAAGGUGCUUUGGGAAAUCCUGAGUGUGCUGCUGUGGACUGGCAGCAUGGCAUCAGCUCAUUGUAGUCAGAACUUUAACGGAGCUCAGACUUCAGGAGGAUACAAAGGUAUGAGGCACCCACUUGCUGUCUUGGUAGGAACUUAUUUAUCAUCACCUGAGAAGAAGAAAAGCAUCUGUGUGCCUAAUACCUUAAUAUUCUCAGCAAAGAGUGAAAAGAGGGGAAUAAACAACAGUUUUUUGAGAUGGAAAAAAUAUUAUGCUGAUUUGCAGAUGCUAAGCAAAUGAGAAUCUUUAGGUUUAUUAUGUGUGAACGCUGUGCCAUUCUUUGUAUUUCAAGCAUAUUAUCACCAAACUGUCAGUGGUUCUUUCUGCUGUAGGUACCAGUGCUCCUAUUUUGAGCAUUUCUGAGAAGUGCUUACUUUGAACCUGGGGCUGCUACUUCCAAAAACAAGCUCUUAUUUCAGUUACCAACGAGCACUCAGAAAUCUUGACUCGGUUGUUACAGUUCGUGCAGAAUUCAGAGCAGAUCUUGGUUGCGAUUUGAGAUUUCCAUAGUGCCAGUGAAGUGAUGGAAACCUAACAAAGGAUUCAUGUCACCUCAGUGUACCUCAUCUGAGAUACAAGAGCUAGUGUGCAAUGAGGACUGGUGAGCUGCUGCUCACAGCAUCUCACCUGCCCACCUCCAGGUUACAUGGGCAGCCUGGCUGGCAGGGU
RNA transcript from Numida meleagris (helmeted guineafowl), 2718 nucleotides. It is a transcript of the gene named potassium voltage-gated channel subfamily J member 5, with no coding region annotated. Lineage: Eukaryota; Metazoa; Chordata; Aves; Galliformes; Numididae. The record is from RefSeq and is a predicted model, not a curated record. The transcript is spliced from 4 exons.